This 428-nucleotide ribosomal RNA is filed under the name uncultured bacterium. RNAcentral describes it as "bacterial SSU rRNA". It matches the Rfam family "Bacterial small subunit ribosomal RNA", at positions 355 to 775 of the family's 1533-position model. The record is from RNAcentral.
UGGGGAAUAUUGGACAAUGGGGGCAACCCUGAUCCAGCAAUGCCGCGUGUGUGAAGAAGGCCUUCGGGUUGUAAAGCACUUUCAGUGGGGAGAAAAGACUUACAGCGAAUACCUGUAAGAGUUGAUGUUACCUACAGAAGAAGCACCGGCUAAUUCUGUGCCAGCAGCCGCGGUAAUACAGAAGGUGCAAGCGUUAAUCGGAAUUACUGGGCGUAAAGCGCAUGUAGGCGGGUAUUUAAGUCGAUUGUGAAAGCCCUGGGCUCAACCUAGGAACUGCAGUCGAUACUGGAUACCUAGAGUAUGGUAGAGGACAGUGGAAUUCCCGGUGUAGCGGUGAAAUGCAUAGAUAUCGGGAGGAACACCAGUGGCGAAGGCGACUGUCUGGAUUAAUACUGACGCUGAGAUGCGAAAGCGUGGGGAGCAAACAG